AUUGAACGUUGGCGGAAUGCUUUACACAUGCAAGUCAAACGGUAGAGGGGGCAACCCCUCGAGAGUGGCGAACGGGUGAGUAAUAUAUCGGAACGUGCCCAGUCGUGGGGGAUAACGUAGCGAAAGUUACGCUAAUACCGCAUACGAUCUAAGGAUGAAAGCGGGGGAUCGCAAGACCUCGCGCGAUUGGAGCGGCCGAUAUCAGAUUAGGUAGUUGGUGGGGUAAAGGCUCACCAAGCCGACGAUCUGUAGCUGGUCUGAGAGGACGACCAGCCACACUGGAACUGAGACACGGUCCAGACUCCUACGGGAGGCAGCAGUGGGGAAUUUUGGACAAUGGACGCAAGUCUGAUCCAGCCAUUCCGCGUGCAGGAUGAAGGCCCUCGGGUUGUAAACUGCUUUUGUACGGAACGAAAAGGUCUCUCUUAAUACGGGGGACUCAUGACGGUACCGUAAGAAUAAGCACCGGCUAACUACGUGCCAGCCGCCGCAGUAA
This 496-nucleotide ribosomal RNA is filed under the name uncultured bacterium. RNAcentral describes it as "partial 16S ribosomal RNA". It matches the Rfam family "Bacterial small subunit ribosomal RNA", at positions 30 to 523 of the family's 1533-position model. The record is from RNAcentral.